RNAcentral lists this unclassified non-coding RNA (168 nucleotides) under uncultured Sebacina. RNAcentral describes it as "sequence contains ITS1". Lineage: Eukaryota; Fungi; Basidiomycota; Agaricomycetes; Sebacinales; Sebacinaceae. The record is from RNAcentral.
GUGAUUAUGAACGGUUGCCUUCUGUGCUGGCUGCGGCAAGUGCACGUUGGUGACUUUCAUCCAACACCCUUGUGAACCUUUGGCCUCUUGCUGGCUUCGGCUGGCAGAGGAUUUUUACACAAACUCGCAUGUAUUGAAGUCCCUUUUGUGCGCAAGCACUACUAUAUA